GGCGAACCGAGCGAACGUUAUUCGGAAUCACUGGGCUUAAAGCGUGCGCAGGCGGUUAUGUAAGACAGGUGUGAAAUCCCCGGGCUUAACCUGGGAACUGCAUUUGUGACUGCAUAGCUAGAGUACGGUAGAGGGGAGUAGUGAAUUCCGCGUGUAGCAGUGAAAUGCGUAGAUAUGCGGAGGAACACCGAUGGCGAAGGCAAUCCCCUGGACCUGUACUGACGCUCAUGCACGAAAGCGUGGGGGAGCAAACAGG
Molecule: ribosomal RNA, 256 nt
Filed under: uncultured bacterium
Lineage: Bacteria
Description: partial 16S ribosomal RNA
Rfam family: Bacterial small subunit ribosomal RNA
Source: RNAcentral